Molecule: ribosomal RNA, 118 nt
Filed under: Lepisosteus oculatus (spotted gar)
Lineage: Eukaryota; Metazoa; Chordata; Actinopteri; Semionotiformes; Lepisosteidae
Source: RNAcentral
CCCAGCAGUUAUAUCACCCUGCAGUGCACAACUGGCAACCCACUGAAGCUCAGCAGGUGUGAGCCUGGUCAGUACCUGGAUGGGAGACCACCUGGGAAAGCUGAGGCUGCUGCUGGAA